This 467-nucleotide ribosomal RNA is filed under the name uncultured bacterium. RNAcentral describes it as "partial 16S ribosomal RNA". It matches the Rfam family "Bacterial small subunit ribosomal RNA", at positions 28 to 507 of the family's 1533-position model. The record is from RNAcentral.
GAUGAACGCUGACAGAAUGCUUAACACAUGCAAGUCAACUUGAAUUUGGGUUUUUAACUUAGGUUUGGGUGGCGGACGGGUGAGUAACGCGUAAAGAACUUGCCUCACAGCUAGGGACAACAUUUGGAAACGAAUGCUAAUACCUAAUAUUAUGAUAAUAGGACAUCCUAUAAUUAUGAAAGCUAUAAGCGCUGUGAGAGAGCUUUGCGUCCCAUUAGCUAGUUGGAGAGGUAACGGCUCACCAAGGCGAUGAUGGGUAGCCGGCCUGAGAGGGUGAUCGGCCACAAGGGGACUGAGACACGGCCCUUACUCCUACGGGAGGCAGCAGUGGGGAAUAUUGGACAAUGGACCGAGAGUCUGAUCCAGCAAUUCUGUGUGCACGAUGAAGUUUUUCGGAAUGUAAAGUGCUUUCAGUUGGGAAGAAACAAAUGACGGUACCAACAGAAGAAGUGACGGCUAAAUACGUG